Molecule: ribosomal RNA, 253 nt
Filed under: uncultured bacterium
Lineage: Bacteria
Description: partial 16S ribosomal RNA
Rfam family: Bacterial small subunit ribosomal RNA
Source: RNAcentral
UACGUAGGGUGCAAGCGUUAAUCGGAAUUACUGGGCGUAAAGCGUGCGCAGGCGGUUUUGUAAGUCUGACGUGAAAUCCCCGGGCUCAACCUGGGAAUUGCGUUGGAGACUGCAAGGCUAGAAUCUGGCAGAGGGGGGUAGAAUUCCACGUGUAGCAGUGAAAUGCGUAGAGAUGUGGAGGAACACCGAUGGCGAAGGCAGCCCCCUGGGUCAAGAUUGACGCUCAUGCUCGAAAGCGUGGGGAGCAAACAGG